Molecule: ribosomal RNA, 600 nt
Filed under: uncultured Acinetobacter sp.
Lineage: Bacteria; Pseudomonadati; Pseudomonadota; Gammaproteobacteria; Moraxellales; Moraxellaceae
Description: bacterial SSU rRNA
Rfam family: Bacterial small subunit ribosomal RNA
Source: RNAcentral
GCCAGCAGCCGCGGUAAUACAGAGGGUGCGAGCGUUAAUCGGAUUUACUGGGCGUAAAGCGUGCGUAGGCGGCUUAUUAAGUCGGAUGUGAAAUCCCCGAGCUUAACUUGGGAAUUGCAUUCGAUACUGGUGAGCUAGAGUAUGGGAGAGGAUGGUAGAAUUCCAGGUGUAGCGGUGAAAUGCGUAGAGAUCUGGAGGAAUACCGAUGGCGAAGGCAGCCAUCUGGCCUAAUACUGACGCUGAGGUACGAAAGCAUGGGGAGCAAACAGGAUUAGAUACCCUGGUAGUCCAUGCCGUAAACGAUGUCUACUAGCCGUUGGGGCCUUUGAGGCUUUAGUGGCGCAGCUAACGCGAUAAGUAGACCGCCUGGGGAGUACGGUCGCAAGACUAAAACUCAAAUGAAUUGACGGGGGCCCGCACAAGCGGUGGAGCAUGUGGUUUAAUUCGAUGCAACGCGAAGAACCUUACCUGGCCUUGACAUACUAGAAACUUUCCAGAGAUGGAUUGGUGCCUUCGGGAAUCUAGAUACAGGUGCUGCAUGGCUGUCGUCAGCUCGUGUCGUGAGAUGUUGGGUUAAGUCCCGCAACGAGCGCAACCCUU